AGAGCUCAAAUUUGAAAGCUGGACNGGUCAAGGUCCGCGUUGUAAUUUGCAGAGGAUGCUUCGGNAGCGGCCCNCGUCUAAGUGCCCUGGAACGGGCCGUCAUAGAGGGUGAGAAUCCCGUCUGGGACGGGGUGUCCUUUUANGAGNGAAGCUCCUUCGAAGAGUCGAGUUGUUUGGGAAUGCAGCUCUAAAUGGGUGGUAAAUUUCAUCUAAAGCUAAAUACUGGCCGGAGACCGAUAGCGCACAAGUAGAGUGAUCGAAAGAUGAAAAGCACUUUGAAAAGAGAGUUAAACAGCACGUGAAAUUGUUGAAAGGGAAGCGUUUGCGACCAGACUCGCCCGCGGGGUUCAGCCGGCAUUCGUGCCGGUUGACUUCCCCGUGGGCGGGCCAGCGCCGGUUUGGGCGGGCGGGC
Molecule: ribosomal RNA, 412 nt
Filed under: Aspergillus viridinutans
Lineage: Eukaryota; Fungi; Ascomycota; Eurotiomycetes; Eurotiales; Aspergillaceae
Description: eukaryotic LSU rRNA
Rfam family: Eukaryotic large subunit ribosomal RNA
Source: RNAcentral